AACGAACGCUGGCGGCAUGCCUAACACAUGCAAGUCGAACGAAGUCUUCGGACUUAGUGGCGCACGGGUGCGUAACGCGUGGGAAUCUGCCCUUGGGUGCGGAAUAACUUCUCGAAAGGGAUGCUAAUACCGCAUAAUGUCGUAAGACCAAAGAUUUAUCGCCCAAGGAUGAGCCCGCGUAAGAUUAGCUAGUUGGUGGGGUAAAAGCCUACCAAGGCGACGAUCUUUAGCUGGUCUGAGAGGAUGAUCAGCCACACUGGGACUGAGACACGGCCCAGACUCCUACGGGAGGCAGCAGUGGGGAAUAUUGGACAAUGGGCGAAAGCCUGAUCCAGCAAUGCCGCGUGAGUGAUGAAGGCCCUAGGGUUGUAAGGCUCUUUUACCAGGGAUGAUAAUGACAGUACCUGGAGAAUAAGCUCCGGCUAACUCCGUGCCAGCAGCCGCGGU
Molecule: ribosomal RNA, 447 nt
Filed under: uncultured bacterium
Lineage: Bacteria
Description: bacterial SSU rRNA
Rfam family: Bacterial small subunit ribosomal RNA
Source: RNAcentral